ACCUGGCUGGCUCAGUCAGUAGAGCAUGUGACUCUUGAUCUUGGGGUUGUAAGUUCGAGCCCUACACUGGGUU
Ailuropoda melanoleuca (giant panda) is the source of this 73-nucleotide non-coding RNA. The record is from Rfam. NCBI's taxonomy places the organism in Eukaryota, Metazoa, Chordata, Mammalia, Carnivora, Ursidae.